This is a long non-coding RNA of Dromiciops gliroides (monito del monte), 3551 nucleotides long. RefSeq lists it as uncharacterized. The transcript has 3 exons. The record is from RefSeq and is a predicted model, not a curated record. NCBI's taxonomy places the organism in Eukaryota, Metazoa, Chordata, Mammalia, Microbiotheria, Microbiotheriidae.
ACAGCUGACGUCAUUCCUCAAAAGAUUACUUCAGAAAGCACAACUCUAGCAUAAAGCGUCCUGCUCAUGGGCAAAGUCCUGGGGAGCGUUGACGUGUUAAUGACGUUUACGAAGUACCCAGAGAUACUUGCAAGACUAGAGCGGAUCCUUAACCACGAAUCACCCGCCCAUCUCUGGCAUUCCUGGAUCCGGACGGACGGAGGGGCUUUGUGGGAGGAAGAAGAGUAAGUCAGAGCAAGUCAGAGCAGUUCUGGCCCCAGACAUCGAAAGUUUUUUGCAAUAGGUCCCAAACUUAAUUAGAUGCAUCUGAAUUAACACUGCCGGGGUCCCCAGCAGGUGAAGUGAUAGAUGAUGGAGUGGUAGCGUCCUGCCAGCUGCCAUUUGUCUGGAAAUAAAGAGAAGAUCAAUGAAGAGAGGAAAGCAGAAGAGGAGUUUUGGACAGCAGACUGAUCAUGGAUCAACACAUCCAGCAUUGCACUCCUCAGUCCUGUAACUGGACUGAUGGUCUGGUGGCCAGCCAUAAACUGUGAGGCUCAGAAAAUAAGGAAGGAGUUCUUGCAAUCAGCUUUUUGUGAAAGAAGACCAAUCUGACACCCAGGGAGGCUGGACUUUUCUGGGUGAAGAAACAGAGUACCUAAAGAAGAGCCAGCAGCCUAUCUUGGCAAUGCCAGUAGCCCUAAUAUUAGGCCACUGAGAUACACCUUCAGCUUUGACUUUUUAUACUGGGCAUCUAGUAAGAUAGGUUCACAAACACCAAUAACUAAAAAGGAAAGCAAAGGAUCAAGUUUUUAUUUAGCAAAUGCUAAAUAAAGAGGGAGAAAAUUCCAAUGAAAAGCAAAGUAAGAGCCUAGGGUUUUUGCUAAAGAAAGGAGACCAUGCAGGAUAUCAAGAGAUAUUACAGGAUUACAAGAUAGAUAUCUGUAUUACAAAGGAAAAGUCAGUCUAAGAAGUGAUAUUUGCAGGUCUUUUAAAAACCAGGUACCAUUACUUUAUAAGCUUUUGAACUUCUAAGUUACAUCUUUGGGUCUUCCCUACAGAAUUCAUUCUGUCGAUACCACUAUACUUUAGCACAAAUAAUCCUUAGGAAAGCUAAGUAUGUCAUACUUGCUUAAUGGGUAGCAGGGGAAUAGGUUAGCAACCAGAACCACAUUAUGGAUUAAUUUUUGGCUAGAAAAGACCAAUUUCCCAGCUGGAUAUGCCAAUAGCUCUCUUGAAGAAAGAGAGAUGGAUGUGUUUGAGAAUGUGUAUUUGGGAGCCAAAGAGGAUAUUUGAUCUGCACAUAUAGUCUUAGAGAGAUAUUGCACCAGAGAUGAUACAAUCCUUUUUUUGUAAACUUUAAUGAAUUAUUCUGAAACUCUGGUCACUUACAUCAAUUCGCUGCGUUGUAUACAAAGGGUUUCCGACAAGGGAGUCGUAUCUGCCCGUCUGAUGUAUAACAUGAUGUAAAGAAUCCAUCUGCAACAAUACCCAACAUGAUCACUCAUCACAUCAUACACUCUGGCUCAUUUCAAAGGGGGAAAACCCACAGUAAAAUGAUAAUCUUUCCAAUGAUGUCUACAAACCAGGCAUAAUAGAUAUGUAACAAGGAAAGUGACAGCUAGGUGGCGCAGUGGAUGGAGUGUUGGAUUUGGGAUCAGGAAAACUUGACUUUGAAUACAGGUACUGCCACAGGCACUUACUAAACUGUGUAACUCUUAGUCUGUUUCCUCAUAUAUAAAAUGGGGAUAAUAAUAGCACUUCACAGGUUGUGAGGAUGAAACAAGAUCUAUCACCUUAAAGCCUUACAUAAUGGUUAUUAUUCUCAAAACUGCUAUGCCCCCAGAGUCUCCUAAAACCACAAGUUCUAGGAUCAUGGAUCUUGAGAUGGGAGGGCCCUCAGAGGUCAUGUAAUCUUCAUAGAAAGGUGUUUCUGUCCAGGUGAGGGCUAGAUGGGUAAUUCCAAGGCCCUGGAAAUAGUUAUAGCUUCCACACCCUAUAGGGGACCACAACACAAGCAGAAGAAAACUGCAGAGGGCUGGGCUCUCUAUGUCUUCCUUUACCUUACUUCCCCCUUGUUUCCAUGGGGAAGGUACAAAUAUCUUUUUACUGAUGGAUUUAGACUGAGUAAGGUGUUUUCCAUUGUGGCCUAAGGGAAGGGCAGGUUUUCAUUAAGCAAUAGUGGAAAGCAAUUCAAGGUCUCUAGUAAAAAUAUGUUUUCUCUCACUCAAGCCCAGUUGUAUAGGGAAUUCCAGUUUGGGUAUGUUGAACUAGGUGAAAUAUGAAUUCCCAGGGGCAGCUAGGUGGUGCAGUGGAUAGAGCACCGUCCCUGGAGUCAGGAGUACCUGAGUUUAAAUCCAGCCUCAGACACUUAACACUUACUAGCUGUGUGACCCUGGGCAAGUCACUUAACCCCAACUGCCUCACUAAAAAAAAAAAAAGAAAAAGAAAAAAAGAAAUAUGAAUUCCCUUUCAAUGCUAAGAUUCUGUAAUUCUGAAACUGUACAUUGAUGUUUGCAUUUAAAAUUAAUACUUUCGGGGGCAGCUAGGUGACGCAGUGGAUAAAGCACCAGCCCUGGAUUUAGAAGGACCCGAGUUCAAAUCCAACCUCAGACACUUGACACUUACUAGCUGUGUGACCCUGGGCAAGUCACUUAACCCUCAUUGCCCUGGCCCUCCCCCCGCCAAUAAAAGCUCUGCUCUGGAAUAUAAAUUUCCUUGAGGGCAAUAAACUCUGUGUAAAAUUAAUACUUUCUCAAAAUGCUACCCUAAAAUUCAGGCCAAAAUUUCAGAGUUGGAAGAGAUCUCAGUGGUCAUCUAAGCCCUCCACUACAUCCCUUAUAGGUAUUUGUCCAGCUUUCGAAAUCCUACAAUGAGGAGGAACCCACUAUCUCCACAAGCAGUCUAUUCUACUUUUGGAUAGCUAGUUCAGGUUCUUAUCUUUCACCUAGACUAUUGCAACAAUCUCCUAAUUCUUGUCCCAGCCUCAAGUCAAACAGGUGCCAAAGUGCUAUUUCUAAAUACAGGUCUGAUCAUGUCAUUUCUGUAGAAGCAUACAACACUAAGGCCUCAGCAAUGCUAGAAAAAAAAAUGCUGUGAUGACAAUGUCUUCAUCUGAAGCCCUUGAUCUCACUUGAAUCAAAGACCUAAUUAAUUUUCCUAAAUGGAAUAGGGAUAGGGCCUGGAUCUAGGAUUUCACAGGUUUGGGGAAUCCCUCUACAAAUGCAGGUUUGUACCUUGCCUUAGUCACUGGGAGAUUAAGGGAACUGCCCAGUAUCACACAGCCAGUGUGUGUCAGAAGCAGGUCUUCCUGAUUCCAAAAGCAGCUCUCUAUCCCUUAUCCUAAGGCUGCCACCUCACAUUUCAAUUUCAAGGAGGGAUCCUGAUUCCUUGAAAUUCAGAGAAUUGGUCUUGUAAACAAAGCCAGGUGGUGGGAAUUUCUUUUUGGUCUUGGUGAUCAAAGUCGGGGUGGUAAUUAAUGUCUUUUUGUUUAAUCCAGUUGAGGGGUUUUUCUUUGUUCACCUUUGGCCAGAUUGAAAGAUUUUAAGAGAAUGUAAUUGGUAACAUUACAAUAA